This 74-nucleotide transfer RNA is filed under the name Deltaproteobacteria bacterium. RNAcentral describes it as "tRNA-Cys". It matches the Rfam family "tRNA". Rfam says of the family: Transfer RNA (tRNA) molecules are approximately 80 nucleotides in length. Their secondary structure includes four short double-helical elements and three loops (D, anti-codon, and T loops). Further hydrogen bonds mediate the characteristic L-shaped molecular structure. tRNAs have two regions of fundamental functional importance: the anti-codon, which is responsible for specific mRNA codon recognition, and the 3' end, to which the tRNAs corresponding amino acid is attached (by aminoacyl-tRNA synthetases). tRNAs cope with the degeneracy of the genetic code in two manners: having more than one tRNA (with a specific anti-codon) for a particular amino acid; and 'wobble' base-pairing, i.e. permitting non-standard base-pairing at the 3rd anti-codon position. RNAcentral also lists the same sequence under 1 other name. The record is from RNAcentral. Lineage: Bacteria; Pseudomonadati; Myxococcota; Myxococcia.
GGCGGCAUGGCCAAGUGGUAAGGCAGAGGACUGCAAAUCCUUUAUCCCCGGUUCGAAUCCGGGUGCCGCCUCCA